CUUCCGCCCAAGAUGGUGGGAAGCGAGUUGAGAUCCGUGUUGUGUCCCGUCCGAAGGGAACCUACUCUCCCCUCCUCCUUGUCGCCGACUCCCGGCCGCAGGGCGACGCGAACCAGCCCUGGCCGCAGCCUCCGCUUCCACCGGCCCAGCCCUUGGCUUCGGGCCCCGCUCCGGGGCGGUUACGAAGCUCCGUAGGGGGCCGGGAGGCCCUGAUCAGCUGUGGUCUGGAGACACCGGAUCCCUCCGCGGGGCCUGGACUUCAGGGUUUCCACUGGAAAUGAGAUAGAACCAGCCCCCGACGACUGGGCGAAGGGAUGCGGUGAUGAUUUCCUCCUGUUCCUCGUCGAUGGGAGCUUUCCGAGUGAUCUCAGUUUCGGGGACCCAGGUUUGGACCGAGCUCUCCCUGACUACCCCACCGCUUCCCUCCCCAUCUCCCAGUACAGCCGUGCUCUGGACUUCACUCGGUCUGCGUCAUCACGCAUGUGCGGAAGUUACCACCGCCUGGCACUGGGAGUUGACUCACAGAAUACUACGCAGUACCUGAGACUGUAGAAUUCACCUUGCCUCAUGGAUGGCUGUCGUGGGGGCUGGUGCUGUGGACGGGAGGAUUUUUGGACCAUGAUUCCAGGUAAUUAAUAACAUCA
This is a long non-coding RNA of Galeopterus variegatus (Sunda flying lemur), 644 nucleotides long. RefSeq lists it as uncharacterized. The transcript has 5 exons. The record is from RefSeq and is a predicted model, not a curated record. NCBI's taxonomy places the organism in Eukaryota, Metazoa, Chordata, Mammalia, Dermoptera, Cynocephalidae.